RNAcentral lists this ribosomal RNA (502 nucleotides) under uncultured bacterium. Its description in RNAcentral is "partial 16S ribosomal RNA". It matches the Rfam family "Bacterial small subunit ribosomal RNA", at positions 29 to 507 of the family's 1533-position model. The record is from RNAcentral.
AGCGAACGCUGGCGGCGUGCCUAACACAUGCAAGUCGAACGUGAAAGGGAGCAAUCCCAAGUAAAGUGGCGUACGGGUGAGUAACACGUAGGUAAUCUACCCCAGAAUCUGGAAUAACCGGCCGAAAGGCUGGCUAAUACUGGAUAGAGCGACGGAAUCCGUAAUUGGGUUUUUCGGGAAAGGGAGCCUGUAAAAAGGCCUUCGUUCUGGGAUGAGCCUGCGUCCCAUCAGCUAGUUGGUGAGGUAAAAGCUUACCAAGGCAAUGACGGGUAGCUGGUCUGAGAGGACGAUCAGCCACACUGGAACUGAAACACGGUCCAGACUCCUACGGGAGGCAGCAGGGGGGAAUCUUGCGCAAUGGACGAAAGUCUGACGCAGCAGCGCCGCGUGAGUGAAGAAGGCCUUCGGGUUGUAAAGCUCUGUCGAGUGGGACGAAAAUGCUUGGAGUUCACAGCUCCAGGAACUGACGGUACCACUAAAGGAAGCACCGGCUAACUCCGUG